GUCCGUGUGGCCCAAUGGUAAAGGCAGCUAUUAACUGAAGAGAUUGCAGGUUCAAAUCCUGCCACGUACU
RNAcentral lists this transfer RNA (70 nucleotides) under Reticulomyxa filosa. It matches the Rfam family "tRNA". Rfam says of the family: Transfer RNA (tRNA) molecules are approximately 80 nucleotides in length. Their secondary structure includes four short double-helical elements and three loops (D, anti-codon, and T loops). Lineage: Eukaryota; Foraminifera; Reticulomyxidae. The record is from Rfam by way of RNAcentral.